AACGCACCUUGCGCUCUCUGGUAUUCCGGAGAGCAUGUCUGUUUGAGUGUCAUGAACUCUUCAACCCACCAGUUUCUAGUAGACUGUUUGUGGUGUUUGGAUCUUGAGCGCUGCUAGUCUGACUAGCUCGUUCGUAAUACAUUAGCAUCUCUAAUUCGAAUUCGGAUUGACUCAGUGUAAUAGACUAUUCGCUGAGGACACUAUUAAUUUAGUGGCCGUACUAGAACCAGUAGAAGCUUCAAACUACUUUAGUCAACUUUGAUUUAGACCUCAGAUCAGGCAGGAUUACCCGCUGAACUUAA
This 302-nucleotide ribosomal RNA is filed under the name Yamadamyces sp. RNAcentral describes it as "partial contains 5.8S ribosomal RNA, internal transcribed spacer 2, and large subunit ribosomal RNA". The stretch from base 1 to 52 matches the Rfam family "5.8S ribosomal RNA", at positions 103 to 154 of the family's 154-position model. RNAcentral also lists the same sequence under 1 other name. Lineage: Eukaryota; Fungi; Basidiomycota; Microbotryomycetes; Kriegeriales; Kriegeriaceae. The record is from RNAcentral.